GCAUCGGUAGUAUAAUGGAUCAGUACGGCAGAUCGGAUAUCUGUAAGUGCGGGUUCGAGUCUCGCCUGAGGUU
Non-coding RNA from Dictyocaulus viviparus (bovine lungworm), 73 nucleotides. The record is from Rfam. NCBI's taxonomy places the organism in Eukaryota, Metazoa, Nematoda, Chromadorea, Rhabditida, Metastrongylidae.